UGAAUCUAAAACUUUAACUUAGAACAACUCUCAGCAACGGAUAUCUUGGCUCUUGCAACGAUGAA
RNAcentral lists this ribosomal RNA (65 nucleotides) under Bryum argenteum. RNAcentral's name for it is "partial 5.8S ribosomal RNA". Lineage: Eukaryota; Viridiplantae; Streptophyta; Bryopsida; Bryales; Bryaceae. The record is from RNAcentral.